GGACCUCACAUAUUACGGCCUCUGCCUGGAAAUGAAGCUCAUCCCGGGAAAAGAGGCAAGAGUGAUGGAGAGCGGGCGUGAGCAAUGGAGAGCGGGCAUGAGUGAUGGAGAGCACCCUCGUCUGAGCUCACGGACACUGCCUGAGUGAACGCAUGCUUGCUAUCUUCAGCACUUUUCAUGAAGCUGUGAGUGAAUGGAACACUAAUCUAAUUGGCUCAGAAGAAGAAGACUGCAGCAGAAGACUGGCUACAUUUACUUACUAAAUAAGUAAGUCUCAUUGGCUUCCUACUUCACGGGGCAGGCUUGGAAAGAAAGCCAGCAGGAGCAGGAAGCAAGUUCUUCUAGCGGCACGUGGAAUGCAAAUGUCCAAAUCUUGCACGUGGGAAAUAAAUCGAAUUUCUGAGGGUUAAAUGAAGAUCCCGUCAGUAUGGGGAAGGAGGCCCGGCCAAUGCUGGUGAAAACAGAGAGAAUCAUUCCUGCAACAGAGAGGGUCGUCCGGGCACUCAGGGUGUCCCUGGGACUUCUGGCUUCUCUGGACCCACGGUAGCAUUUGCUGGCGGUAGAAAAGCGGUUCUUGCUGGGUUAUUCUCACUGGUGCCUGCAGAGCUAUGAAAACAGGGAGGACAGCGCCGUCCGCCUCCUGGACAUUGAAGCCUCGGCUGGAAGUAGCUGUCCCCGAGAGCCUGCGCUCCACAGCUUGUUUUGGCCUUCAGAAAAAACGCUUUCUUUCUGUAGCUUAACUGCUUGGCCCUCGGGGCAGCCAGCUGUCGGACGCUGCUUGAGCAGAGGUCGUGGAGGGGUGAGUGAGCACAGGGAAACCUUUUAAUACAUAUUUUAUACACUUCACAUCACUAAUGGGAGCUACACAAACAGAUCCAUUUGAAUAUCCACCCCCUGGGGCUAUAUUUCUGUUACGAGUUUUCUGGUAACAGCAAGGAUCAAAAACUAAGAUGAUUCUUUUAAACACACCUGACUGACCAAAAAUAUGCAUAAAAUCUGCAACAUGGAAAAAAUUCUAUCUCUGCAUCUUACAGGUAUUAAAAUCCAGCUCCCUGCAUGCAUGCCCCAGUUUAAGCAGAUGGCUGAUUCUAUCCUCGUCAUCCUGAACUUUGUAGCUUUCUUUAAGAGAUGAUAAAUUAGGGAACAAAAGGAUCUUCCUUUCCAUGACAGCAGCACUUUUGGGAGGCUGAGCAUGUACCUCUGACUCAAGGCUGAGUUAUUAUAAGAAAAACAGAAAAGGAAGGAAGAAGGUUUUAAUUUCCCACUGUUGAAGACAGUUUGUCAGGAUGAGAGACAGACAGACGGAGCGAGCACAGACCUGCGCUUCUCUUCGGGGAUGAAUAGGGCAAGUGUUUCAUUCAUGACGUCUUCAAAGCGUUGCCCGGAAUGCAAAGUGACAUGGUUUUUCUGGAAUACUAGUCUGUUUGAAAGGCCAAGGAAAGGUGAUACAUUUUGAAUGCACAUUUGGGUGACUUCAAGGUCUCCUUCUAUAACCAGAAUGGAGAUGUCCCUGAAAGGCUGUCUACAGAGAAAAAGAAAUCUGGUUAAAAUUCCAU
Molecule: long non-coding RNA, 1556 nt
Organism: Nomascus leucogenys (northern white-cheeked gibbon)
Lineage: Eukaryota; Metazoa; Chordata; Mammalia; Primates; Hylobatidae
Exons: 5
Source: RefSeq, a predicted model, not a curated record